Long non-coding RNA from Homo sapiens (human), 399 nucleotides. RefSeq lists it as uncharacterized. NCBI's taxonomy places the organism in Eukaryota, Metazoa, Chordata, Mammalia, Primates, Hominidae. The transcript is spliced from 3 exons. The record is from RefSeq and is a predicted model, not a curated record.
GCCAGUCGUGUGUAUAUUUUACAAUAUGACGUAUGAAUGACUCACCCUGAAUCCUUUCUUGCUGAGAUCGAAGAACCAACCCUCUCUUGGGAUCUGGAUCAGGACCCCUUUCCUAUAAUACUGGCAGUCUGGAGAUGUGUGCCCUAACCAGGCCAUACUCCCGUUGCCCCAUGACCAUCCAUGCUGUGGCUACUGUUGCUGAAGCUGAACCUCAAGGUUACUGUUAAAUAGGAUGAGGAAACUGAGGCUUCAAGAGAUUCAGCAAUCUGCCUUAGGACACAGAGGUAGAAAGUGGCAGGCAGUCUGACUCUGGAAGCCCACACUGUUUCCUAUUAUACUAACCCUGAAUAGAGAGGUAAGUAUUUCUCCAAAAGUAUCAGGCACCCAUCCACUGAGUGG